GUCUACAGCCGUGCCACCCUGAACAAGCCUAAUCUCAUUUGAUCUCGGAAGCUACGCAGGGUCGUGCCUGGUUAGUACCUGGAUGGGAGACCACCAAGGAAGACCAGGUGCCGUAGGCC
Pteropus vampyrus (large flying fox) is the source of this 119-nucleotide ribosomal RNA. The record is from Ensembl. Lineage: Eukaryota; Metazoa; Chordata; Mammalia; Chiroptera; Pteropodidae.